This 453-nucleotide ribosomal RNA is filed under the name uncultured Sphingomonadales bacterium. RNAcentral's name for it is "partial 16S ribosomal RNA". Lineage: Bacteria; Pseudomonadati; Pseudomonadota; Alphaproteobacteria; Sphingomonadales. The record is from RNAcentral.
CACGGAGUUAGCCGGAGCUUAUUCUCCAGGUACUGUCAUUAUCAUCCCUGGUAAAAGAGCUUUACAACCCUAAGGCCUUCAUCACCCACGCGGCAUUGCUGGAUCAGGCUUUCGCCCAUUGUCCAAUAUUCCCCACUGCUGCCUCCCGUAGGAGUCUGGGCCGUGUCUCAGUCCCAGUGUGGCUGAUCAUCCUCUCAGACCAGCUAUGGAUCGUCGCCUUGGUAGGCCUUUACCCCACCAACUGGCUAAUCCAACGCGGGCCCAUCUAAAGGCGAUAAAUCUUUGGUCCGAAGACAUCAUCCGGUAUUAGCAGUCGUUUCCAACUGUUAUUCCGAACCUAAAGGCAGGUUCCCACGCGUUACGCACCCGUGCGCCACUAACCCCGAAGGGUUCGUUCGACUUGCAUGUGUUAGGCAUGCCGCCAGCGUUCGUUCUGAGCCAGGAUCAAACUCU